Molecule: transfer RNA, 67 nt
Filed under: Marmota monax (woodchuck)
Lineage: Eukaryota; Metazoa; Chordata; Mammalia; Rodentia; Sciuridae
Description: tRNA.Val
Rfam family: tRNA
About the family: Transfer RNA (tRNA) molecules are approximately 80 nucleotides in length. Their secondary structure includes four short double-helical elements and three loops (D, anti-codon, and T loops). Further hydrogen bonds mediate the characteristic L-shaped molecular structure. tRNAs have two regions of fundamental functional importance: the anti-codon, which is responsible for specific mRNA codon recognition, and the 3' end, to which the tRNAs corresponding amino acid is attached (by aminoacyl-tRNA synthetases). tRNAs cope with the degeneracy of the genetic code in two manners: having more than one tRNA (with a specific anti-codon) for a particular amino acid; and 'wobble' base-pairing, i.e. permitting non-standard base-pairing at the 3rd anti-codon position.
Source: RNAcentral
GGCUGUAGCUCAGUGGCAGAGUGCUUGCCUCACACGUGUGAGGCACUGAGUUCGAUCCUCGGCACCA